This 2324-nucleotide ribosomal RNA is filed under the name Escherichia coli. RNAcentral describes it as "partial 23S ribosomal RNA". It matches the Rfam family "Bacterial large subunit ribosomal RNA", at positions 612 to 2915 of the family's 2925-position model. The record is from RNAcentral. Lineage: Bacteria; Pseudomonadati; Pseudomonadota; Gammaproteobacteria; Enterobacterales; Enterobacteriaceae.
AUAAUGGGUCAGCGACUUAUAUUCUGUAGCAAGGUUAACCGAAUAGGGGAGCCGAAGGGAAACCGAGUCUUAACUGGGCGUUAAGUUGCAGGGUAUAGACCCGAAACCCGGUGAUCUAGCCAUGGGCAGGUUGAAGGUUGGGUAACACUAACUGGAGGACCGAACCGACUAAUGUUGAAAAAUUAGCGGAUGACUUGUGGCUGGGGGUGAAAGGCCAAUCAAACCGGGAGAUAGCUGGUUCUCCCCGAAAGCUAUUUAGGUAGCGCCUCGUGAAUUCAUCUCCGGGGGUAGAGCACUGUUUCGGCAAGGGGGUCAUCCCGACUUACCAACCCGAUGCAAACUGCGAAUACCGGAGAAUGUUAUCACGGGAGACACACGGCGGGUGCUAACGUCCGUCGUGAAGAGGGAAACAACCCAGACCGCCAGCUAAGGUCCCAAAGUCAUGGUUAAGUGGGAAACGAUGUGGGAAGGCCCAGACAGCCAGGAUGUUGGCUUAGAAGCAGCCAUCAUUUAAAGAAAGCGUAAUAGCUCACUGGUCGAGUCGGCCUGCGCGGAAGAUGUAACGGGGCUAAACCAUGCACCGAAGCUGCGGCAGCGACGCUUAUGCGUUGUUGGGUAGGGGAGCGUUCUGUAAGCCUGUGAAGGUGUACUGUGAGGUAUGCUGGAGGUAUCAGAAGUGCGAAUGCUGACAUAAGUAACGAUAAAGCGGGUGAAAAGCCCGCUCGCCGGAAGACCAAGGGUUCCUGUCCAACGUUAAUCGGGGCAGGGUGAGUCGACCCCUAAGGCGAGGCCGAAAGGCGUAGUCGAUGGGAAACAGGUUAAUAUUCCUGUACUUGGUGUUACUGCGAAGGGGGGACGGAGAAGGCUAUGUUGGCCGGGCGACGGUUGUCCCGGUUUAAGCGUGUAGGCUGGUUUUCCAGGCAAAUCCGGAAAAUCAAGGCUGAGGCGUGAUGACGAGGCACUACGGUGCUGAAGCAACAAAUGCCCUGCUUCCAGGAAAAGCCUCUAAGCAUCAGGUAACAUCAAAUCGUACCCCAAACCGACACAGGUGGUCAGGUAGAGAAUACCAAGGCGCUUGAGAGAACUCGGGUGAAGGAACUAGGCAAAAUGGUGCCGUAACUUCGGGAGAAGGCACGCUGAUAUGUAGGUGAAGUCCCUCGCGGAUGGAGCUGAAAUCAGUCGAAGAUACCAGCUGGCUGCAACUGUUUAUUAAAAACACAGCACUGUGCAAACACGAAAGUGGACGUAUACGGUGUGACGCCUGCCCGGUGCCGGAAGGUUAAUUGAUGGGGUUAGCGCAAGCGAAGCUCUUGAUCGAAGCCCCGGUAAACGGCGGCCGUAACUAUAACGGUCCUAAGGUAGCGAAAUUCCUUGUCGGGUAAGUUCCGACCUGCACGAAUGGCGUAAUGAUGGCCAGGCUGUCUCCACCCGAGACUCAGUGAAAUUGAACUCGCUGUGAAGAUGCAGUGUACCCGCGGCAAGACGGAAAGACCCCGUGAACCUUUACUAUAGCUUGACACUGAACAUUGAGCCUUGAUGUGUAGGAUAGGUGGGAGGCUUUGAAGUGUGGACGCCAGUCUGCAUGGAGCCGACCUUGAAAUACCACCCUUUAAUGUUUGAUGUUCUAACGUUGACCCGUGAUCCGGGUUGCGGACAGUGUCUGGUGGGUAGUUUGACUGGGGCGGUCUCCUCCUAAAGAGUAACGGAGGAGCACGAAGGUUGGCUAAUCCUGGUCGGACAUCAGGAGGUUAGUGCAAUGGCAUAAGCCAGCUUGACUGCGAGCGUGACGGCGCGAGCAGGUGCGAAAGCAGGUCAUAGUGAUCCGGUGGUUCUGAAUGGAAGGGCCAUCGCUCAACGGAUAAAAGGUACUCCGGGGAUAACAGGCUGAUACCGCCCAAGAGUUCAUAUCGACGGCGGUGUUUGGCACCUCGAUGUCGGCUCAUCACAUCCUGGGGCUGAAGUAGGUCCCAAGGGUAUGGCUGUUCGCCAUUUAAAGUGGUACGCGAGCUGGGUUUAGAACGUCGUGAGACAGUUCGGUCCCUAUCUGCCGUGGGCGCUGGAGAACUGAGGGGGGCUGCUCCUAGUACGAGAGGACCGGAGUGGACGCAUCACUGGUGUUCGGGUUGUCAUGCCAAUGGCACUGCCCGGUAGCUAAAUGCGGAAGAGAUAAGUGCUGAAAGCAUCUAAGCACGAAACUUGCCCCGAGAUGAGUUCUCCCUGACUCCUUGAGAGUCCUGAAGGAACGUUGAAGACGACGACGUUGAUAGGCCGGGUGUGUAAGCGCAGCGAUGCGUUGAGCUAACCGGUACUAAUGAACCGUGAGG